GACGAACGCUGGCGGCGUGCCUAAUACAUGCAAGUCGAACGAAAAGGCCCGGCGCUUGUGGGGUGCUCGAUUGGCGAACGGGUGAGUAACACGUGAGUAACCUGCCCUUGACUGUGGGAUAAAAUCAGGAAACUGGGGCUCAUACCGCAUAGAAGCUCCUGCUGCACGUUGGGGGAUGGAAAGUUUCGGCGGUUGGGUCUGGAAUCGCUGCUUAUCAGCUUGUUGGUGGGGUAGUGGCUUACCAAGGCUUUGACGGGUAGCCGGCCUGAGAGGGUGACCGGCCUCAUUGGGACUGAGAUACGGCCCAGACUCCUACGGGAGGCAGCAGUGGGGAAUAUUGCACAAUGGGCGGAAGCCUGAUGCAGCAACGCCGCGUGCGGGAUGACGGCCUUCGGGUUGUAAACCGAUUUCGCCUGUGACGAAGCGUGAGUGACGGUAAUGGGUAAAGAAGCACCGGCUAACUACGUG
Molecule: ribosomal RNA, 468 nt
Filed under: uncultured bacterium
Lineage: Bacteria
Description: partial 16S ribosomal RNA
Rfam family: Bacterial small subunit ribosomal RNA
Source: RNAcentral